This is a non-coding RNA of Tetraodon nigroviridis (spotted green pufferfish), 85 nucleotides long. The record is from Rfam. Lineage: Eukaryota; Metazoa; Chordata; Actinopteri; Tetraodontiformes; Tetraodontidae.
CCUUCGAUAGCUCAGCUGGUAGAGCGGAGGACUGUAGAGGCUCAUGGGCAUCCUUAGGUCGCUGGUUCAAAUCCGGCUCGAAGGA